UUGCUGGACUCUCUUUGGCAGCACAGAUAGUGAAAUUGGAGUGUUACAGAGAAAAUUAGCAUGGCCCCUGCACAGGGAUGGCAUGCACAUUUAUGAAGCAUUCCCCCCCCCC
Sorex araneus (European shrew) is the source of this 112-nucleotide small nuclear RNA. Lineage: Eukaryota; Metazoa; Chordata; Mammalia; Eulipotyphla; Soricidae. The record is from Ensembl.